UGUUUUUAUUGAAGGAUUAGUGGAGGAUUGCGACGAUGAUGAUGAUGAGGCUUUUGAUCCACCAUCUAAAUCUUUCCUCAAGAGAUGAUUUGAAGAAGAAUCUCGACAAUUCGAGCAAAUGUUCAGCCGAGAAGUAAAAAGCAUACUUGAAGAAAUGUGUGAUAAUAGCGUUGUGCAUAAUAGUUUGCUCGAAGUUCUGGUCAAUAGAUCGUUGAUCGAUCUAGGCAACCUCUUCUAAAGAAUAACCCUUGCCAGUGAUACAGGCCGAGACAGGAUCUGCUCGG
This 284-nucleotide long non-coding RNA is filed under the name Malus domestica (apple). RNAcentral's name for it is "long non-coding RNA (MDOM_LNC016174)". The record is from RNAcentral. Lineage: Eukaryota; Viridiplantae; Streptophyta; Magnoliopsida; Rosales; Rosaceae.